Molecule: ribosomal RNA, 253 nt
Filed under: uncultured bacterium
Lineage: Bacteria
Description: partial 16S ribosomal RNA
Rfam family: Bacterial small subunit ribosomal RNA
Source: RNAcentral
UACGUAGGUGACAAGCGUUGUCCGGAUUUACUGGGCGUAAAGAGCGCGCAGGCGGUCGUUCAAGUCGAGUGUGAAAGCCCCCGGCUCAACUGGGGAGGGUCACUCGAUACUGAUCGACUCGAAGGCAGGAGAGGGAAGUGGAAUUCCCGGUGUAGUGGUGAAAUGCGUAGAUAUCGGGAGGAACACCAGUGGCGAAGGCGACUUUCUGGCCUGUUCUUGACGCUGAGGCGCGAAAGCUAGGGGAGCAAACGGG